RNAcentral lists this ribosomal RNA (201 nucleotides) under uncultured bacterium. Its description in RNAcentral is "partial 16S ribosomal RNA". It matches the Rfam family "Bacterial small subunit ribosomal RNA", at positions 328 to 539 of the family's 1533-position model. The record is from RNAcentral.
ACGCUCGACACCUACGGGAGGCGGCAGUCGGGAAUAUUGCGCAAUGGAGGAAACUCUGACGCAGUGACGCCGCGUGCAGGAAGAAGGUUUUCGGAUUGUAAACUGCUUUAGACAGGGAAAGAAAAAAGACAGUACCUGUAGAAUAAGCUCCGGCUAACUACGUGUCAGCAGCCGCGGUAAUCUGAGGCGGGCUGGCAAGGC